This 407-nucleotide ribosomal RNA is filed under the name uncultured bacterium. RNAcentral's name for it is "partial 16S ribosomal RNA". It matches the Rfam family "Bacterial small subunit ribosomal RNA", at positions 28 to 526 of the family's 1533-position model. The record is from RNAcentral.
GACGAACGCUGGCGGCGUGCCUAAUACAUGCAAGUAGAACGCAGUUGCGAACGGGUGAGUAACGCGUAGGUAACUGCCUGGUAGCGGGGGAUAACUAUUGGACACGAUAGCUAAUACCGCAUCCUACCAGAUGGACCUGCGUUGUAUUAGCUAGUUGGUGGGGUAACGACUCACCAAGGCAACGAUACAUAGCCGAGCGGAGAGGGUGAGCAGCAAGAAUGGGAAAUAGACACGGGCCAGAGUCCGACGGGAUGCAGAAGUAGGGAAUAUUCGGAAAUGGGGGGAAACCUGACCGAGCAACGCAGCGUGAGAGAGGAAGGUUUUCGGAUCGUAAAGCUCGGUUGUUAAGGAAGCGGUACUGAACCAGAAAGAGACGGCGAACUACGUGCCAGCAGCCUCGGUAAUAC